This 440-nucleotide ribosomal RNA is filed under the name uncultured bacterium. RNAcentral describes it as "partial 16S ribosomal RNA". It matches the Rfam family "Bacterial small subunit ribosomal RNA", at positions 338 to 795 of the family's 1533-position model. The record is from RNAcentral.
CCUACGGGAGGCAGCAGUGGGGGAUAUUGCACAAUGGGGGAAACCCUGAUGCAGCGACGCCGCGUGGGUGAAGAAGUAAUUCGUUACGUAAAGCUCUAUCAGCAGGGAAGAAAAUGACGGUACCUGAGGAAGAAGCCCCGGCUAACUACGUGCCAGCAGCCGCGGUAAUACGUAGGGGGCAAGCGUUAUCCGGAUUUACUGGGUGUAAAGGGGGCGUAGACGGCAGUGCAAGUCUGGAGUGAAAGGCGGGGGCUCAACCCCCGGACUGCUCUGGAAACUGUACGGCUGGAGUGCAGGAGGGGCAAGUGGAAUUCCUAGUGUAGCGGUGAAAUGCGUAGAUAUUAGGAGGAACACCAGUGGCGAAGGCGGCUUGCUGGACUGUAACUGACGUUGAGGCCCGAAAGCGUGGGGAGCAAACAGGAUUAGAUACCCUUGUAGUC